RNAcentral lists this ribosomal RNA (207 nucleotides) under uncultured bacterium. Its description in RNAcentral is "partial 16S ribosomal RNA". It matches the Rfam family "Bacterial small subunit ribosomal RNA", at positions 568 to 774 of the family's 1533-position model. The record is from RNAcentral.
AGCGUAGGUGGUUGGAUAAGUUAGAUGUGAAAGCCCGCAGCUUAACUGCGGAACUGCAUCUAAAACUGUCUAACUUGAGUGCAGGAGAGGUAAGCGGAAUUCCUAGUGUAGCGGUGGAAUGCGUAGAUAUUAGGAGGAACACCAGAGGCGAAGGCGGCUUACUGGACUGUAACUGACACUGAGGCUCGAAAGCGUGGGGAGCAAACA